GCCGCCGUUGCCCGGGCCCCGCCGCCGUUGCUAGGCGACCGCUGCUGCCGUGGCCGCCUCUGUCACGAGCCCCGUCGCCCGGAGACAACGCGAGAGAGACGGGGGAGGGGGGCAAGGAGACCCCCAAAACCAACCGGGCCACCCACCAUCCCUUUCUGAGCAGGACCCCCCCUCAAACCACGGAGGGAACGAGGGUUCUCGGCUCCACCCAGCAGAGGAGGAGCCCUGGAUUCCUAUGUCCCUCAAAGGUCCGGCGACCUCUCCCGGGCUGGAGAGUCCACAUCCUCAGCAAACACCUUUGCAUACCCAAGCCCCCAAGGACCCUAUGUCCCCUGCACAUCCUCCAUGCUUUUUACAUAUUCCAUGCCACCUGAAGACCCUAAACAUUCAACAGCUAUCAACUCUCACUAACCCCCCAAUAUAUGUACCCCUGAAAGCCUUUCCAGCCCGACUGAACCCCAAUAUAGCAACCUCCACAUAUGACCCCAACCCCAAACACACACGGUGCCCCCACCCAAAACACACAGGAGACCCAUGCCAAAGACCCCAGACCCUGAGGAGAAGGAUGGGGAAUAUGUGGGCAGAUCAGCCAACCACAAGACACAUAAACAUGCACCGUAAGCAUGUGACCAUUUUGGCCUGGGCAUACAGGUGUACACACGUGCACACAAACACCUUUCCCAGACAUGGACAUAACAUACUCACAUAUACACAUACACAGAUGUGAUAGACAUCACAUGCACAUCCUCUUUAUACACUCCACCACCACCACCUGGCUUUGCCUCACAGAGAUGUGCUACCCACAUGCCCCCAUGGUCAGAGUUUUCCAUGACAAUAACACACAUCCCUGACCACUCACCCACCCACCCAGGGUCCCAGGGCUGGCUCCCAAGGACAAUGAAGCCUGCACCUAUCAAAAAGAAGCACCAAGAAAACAGUCAAACGUCGCUGCAGGAGAGGAAAAAGGGAGCGAAGCCGAGCAACGACCCGCUGGGGCCUCUCACCCACAGCCCCUGGCCCUCCAUAUCCCAGAGGAGGGCGCCAUCUCCGCUCAGAAAGCCAGACUCAGUCUCCGCCUCUGCCCGCCCCCGCCAGCUCCCUUCGUUCCCGGACGCCCGCGCCCCUCCAGCCCUCCCCGCCCCUCUCCGGGGCACGAGAGCCUGCGCGGCCGCCGUACCAUGCUCGCCGUGGGGCCGCCCCUCCACCGGCACGGAGACGGUCCCUCAAUGUCCUCUCCCUGCAUUUUGCCCCGUGGUGGAGAAAGGACUAAGAAUGGUCUUUUUCCACCCUUCUCACCCUGCUCACCUCAUCCUCAUCCAGCAUGAGCAGCUGGUUUCCCGAGAUGAUGCAGAACCGAGGAUUCCAACCAGGUCGAUCAUAUGGGGAAUGAACGUAUUGGGUUCGGUGCAUAGGGGGUCCCCGUACAUCUGGGGGACAGAGACACACAGAUACAAUAAGGGAGGCUCUAUGCAUAUGGGAGCAGAGGCCUAAAAUGGCAAGAAGAGCUCCCACAAACUGGGAGAACGGGACCCCACCCAUCUUGAGAUCAUAGUUGACGGUGAGGCACCUGGUAACUUUAAGGAACACGAGACAAGCCUUUACAUCUGGGAAAAAGAGACAAGGAGAAUCACAUCACAGGAGGCUUUGUGGAAUUGGGGGAAGAAAUACAGAGGGGUGGUUCAGGGAGGAGAAUUCUAUCAUGACAGAGAGGGUACACAUUUGGGAGCAGAGAAAGGUGAGGGACCUUUCCAUCCAUUUGAGGAAAAUAGAAAGGUACAGUUGCAGAAAAAUUGGCAGAAGAAAAACACACAGAGAGGUUGGUGGCAGGUAUCUGGGAAAAGGAAGGGCAUCCAAAUAACUGCAGAAGACAAGAACUUGGAAGGCUGGCACUACCCACCUGCAAGAGAGUAAGAGGAAAGCUACACAGCUGUAGAAAAGAAGGAUGGGGGUGUGUGAAGUAACACUGGGAUCAUGAGACUCUGAGAGCUCAACAUCAGGAAAAGAAAGGAAGUGGGAGAGCUUACCUGUUUACAGAGUCAGAGACAUGACAGGGCCUCCCCCCCCCACCUCUCCUUUCUCCUCUGCACCCUCCUCCCCAGUUCAACCUGUUCAUCCUUUGAAGAGAGUUCUGAUUCUUGUGGUAAGGAGAAGAUGGCUUUUGUCAGCAUCUGACUGUGGAAGGGCCAGGGCAGGAGAAGGUGGGAAAUAUGCCCUUGUUUGGGUGAGCAGAGACCAAAUUGAUCUCUUGCCCCAUUCUAUGUCCAUAGCAUAAAGAUCCAAUAUUAUCUCCCCCCAGCCCCUACCUAAUCUCCAUGGACAGGACAGAAGCCAACACCACAAAUUAGGAGCAUCCCCAAGGCACAGUGAGGAGCCUAAGGAUGAAGAGGGUGGGGAAGACAGGAAUAUCCAGGCCCGAUGACAUAUAAGGGCCUCCAAAGAUGAGAGCUGGAGAUGAGAACAAAACUUCCAGAAGAGCAGAAUAGUAGACCAAGUGUCGUCCAUGCUCAGAGAUGCCCCAAGGAUCCCUGUUUCCCAACUUUGCUGUUCCUCUUGCUAUGCCUUUUCUUCCUGCAAACUACUUCUCCUUUUAACCCUAAGGCUGCAUACCAUCACAGGGACACAAGACAGAGCACAUUGAGGUAAGAGAAGUCAGAUCGGGGAUACCAAAGUGAUAAAAUUAGGCUUAAGGUAUCACAGUGAGAGAGAGUUUAGAGGAAGAAAAAUCAAAUUCUGUCACCUUUGUGGGAUAAUUAACCAUGGGUAUACAGCAGAACUGGCCUUUGAACUUCCUUCCUACAGAAUGUCCUGAGUAGGAGAGUUUUGAAAAAUCCAGCCCUUUUCUGUCUGCAAAUAUGUCCUUCAAAUUUACCCAACCUCUAGAUCAGAGUUAAGAAAUGAGCCCCCAGAAGGUCCACUGUCUAGAAAGCACAGUACUUUGAAACUUUACCUCAAUGCCAUCUCGGGGCCUUUAACUAAUACUCUGUAGAUACAGAGAUCACCAAUACCUAGGUUCUGACUGCACACAUUGCAGGCAGCAUGCCCACCACACUCACACACUCAGUACACCCAGAGGAGAAAUCUGUUGGUACACAUAAUCAUUUUGGGAGGAGCUGGUUCAGGCUGCAGCCAAGAGAGGGAGGUUAGACUUCAGGGGGCACUUUUUUCCUGGGAGCAGGGAAGGACACAAGGAACUUAGCUUAGGAGCAACUCUGGAAACACACACACACACACACACAUUCUGGAUUUAGGAAAGAAUGAUUCUGGGAGGCAGAUUCAAGAGGCAGAGGAACAUGGCUGAGAAAGGAGGGAAAUUUACUAGGAUGAGAAAUCCCACAAGAUGGGAUUUCUCAGAUGGGGAUCCCUUGUAGCCCCUGUUCUAACCAUCAAAACCUAUGUCUUUAUACCUCAAAUCUCCAGCACCCCAGGAGACAAGAGGAAUGGUGGUAAGAGCUGAGGUAUUAAGGGAAAGUGGUAGGCACAGACUUGUGGUGACAAGAUGGGGAGUGGGGUAUAGAACAGAGAAUGGGCUGGGGGAUGUGUAACAGUGAUCAUCUAAAAGAGAAGGCAGAGAUGAUGGUAAAUACUUAGGGACAAGGGAAUACACCAGAAGGGCUCAACUGGACAUGGGGCAGAGGAAAUGAGGCAGACCUAGCAAGGAGGCCAGGACAAGGGGGUCAAGAAGGAGGGGGUGGAGAGAUGGCAGAAAUAUGAGGGAGCUACCAUACAGAAGAGAGGGGGAGAGAGAAUAGGCAUCAGAGGGGGACUGAUAUAGGGGAAGGACAGAAGGGGGACUCAUAUAAGGAACGGACACCAUAUGGGGGGAAAGAUAUAGGUGAUGGACAGCAGAGGAGGGAGGAGGAAUGCAAAUAGGAUUGGAAGUGGGGGAAGGGGUAAAAGUGAUGAAGUGAAGAGAGUGAUAAGACCCCAGGGGCUACAUUUCACUGGUCAAGAGCCUUAAUGAGGAUCUUAACCUGGCCCUAUUCCCAUCAUUCAAUCAUCCUUGUACCUGCACGCCACCCUCCCUCAAAUACACACAUAAUUUGGCCCUCCCCCUGCCCUUGUCUCCCCUCCCCCAACCCAAUUCCUCUCUCUCCUCUCUUCCCUCCAUCUGGACCCUCCAUC
Microcebus murinus (gray mouse lemur) is the source of this 4122-nucleotide non-coding RNA. The record is from RefSeq and is a predicted model, not a curated record. NCBI's taxonomy places the organism in Eukaryota, Metazoa, Chordata, Mammalia, Primates, Cheirogaleidae.